GCUCCAAGCCCCUUGUGCUGACAUUAUCCGAUAACGCACCCUGGAUACAUCGUACAGCAUGGCUGCCCUCUGCUCUCAAGUAUGCUUGACUUUGUGUACAAAAGUAUGCACCGAGCCAAAGCAAAGAAAGAUGAUAACCAGUCAAGCAAAACCGAGCAGAAAAGAGAUGUCACAGGUGCGUGAUACAGACUGAGAAAAGCACAGAUAAGGAGGCAGCACAUGAGAUAACAACGUUUUGUUCAAUCUCAAAAGACUUGUGCUAUGGGGAGGUGAGAUGAAGAGUGUGAUAUGCAAACUGUUGUUGCAACAAUUGUCAAUCCUGUCUAUAUGUGUUAUAAUGAGCUCCAGUCCACCAGGCAUGCAUUAAGAAAUGGGGGUGAGGCAAGGGCAGUAGUGGCUCACCCCCUAGAGCCAUUAGAUAGGAAAGGAGUGAGUACAGGUUUGCCUUGUAGCGUUUAAUCUGCUGUAGAACUCUGAGGAUAAUGAAAGACAGGUAAUCCAGAACAAUUGGCCAAAAAAUGGCUUCCAGUGAAGGUGCUUGGAAGCUUUUUAGAAGGGUAGUAUGGGGCUAACGUAAGCUGCUGAAGAAUGUUUCACCAACCAGCCCAAGCAGCCACCCUUUUGCUUGGUACAAGACAAGCAGGGAGGCCAAGAUAUUCAGCACCCUCCCCCACUUACACCAAGGAUGUUCAACUAAACAUAAGUAUACCUAUAAGUGAAACAGCAGGCUUCCUGGGUGACUGUGUUUGCUGAAGCCGCGACUGCUGCUGUUGGACUUGUGGUGGAUGCAACGUAGCUCCUACCAC
Molecule: long non-coding RNA, 806 nt
Organism: Dermacentor andersoni
Lineage: Eukaryota; Metazoa; Arthropoda; Arachnida; Ixodida; Ixodidae
Source: RefSeq, a predicted model, not a curated record